RNAcentral lists this non-coding RNA (46 nucleotides) under Trichobilharzia regenti. Lineage: Eukaryota; Metazoa; Platyhelminthes; Trematoda; Strigeidida; Schistosomatidae. The record is from RNAcentral.
GUACUGCUGAAGAGUCCCAAACUAAGACGAAACAGCUGUCCAGUAA